AUUGAACGCUGGCGGCAUGCCUUACACAUGCAAGUCGAACGGUAGAGUAGCAAUACUUGAGAGUGGCGAACGGGUGAGUAAUAUAUCGGAACGUGCCCAGUCGUGGGGGAUAACGUAGAGAAAUUUACGCUAAUACCGCAUACGAUCUAAGGAUGAAAGCGGGGGGAUUCGCAAGAACCUCGCGCGAUUGGAGCGGCUGAUAUCAGAUUAGGUUGUUGGUGAGGUAAAAGCUCACCAAGCCGACGAUCUGUAGCUGGUUUGAGAGAACGACCAGCCACACUGGGACUGAGACACGGCCCAGACUCCUACGGGAGGCAGCAGUGGGGGAAUUUUGGACAAUGGGCGAAAGCCUGAUCCAGCAAUGCCGCGUGCAGGAAGAAGGCCUUCGGUUGUAACUAGCUUUGUUACGGUAACG
Molecule: ribosomal RNA, 415 nt
Filed under: uncultured bacterium
Lineage: Bacteria
Description: bacterial SSU rRNA
Rfam family: Bacterial small subunit ribosomal RNA
Source: RNAcentral